RNAcentral lists this ribosomal RNA (467 nucleotides) under uncultured bacterium. Its description in RNAcentral is "partial 16S ribosomal RNA". It matches the Rfam family "Bacterial small subunit ribosomal RNA", at positions 28 to 507 of the family's 1533-position model. The record is from RNAcentral.
GAUGAACGCUGACAGAAUGCUUAACACAUGCAAGUCAACUUGAAUUUGGGUUUUUAACUUAGGUUUGGGUGGCGGACGGGUGAGUAACGCGUAAAGAACUUGCCUCACAGCUAGGGACAACAUUUGGAAACGAAUGCUAAUACCUAAUAUUAUGAUAAUAGGGCAUCCUAUAAUUAUGAAAGCUAUAAGCGCUGUGAGAGAGCUUUGCGUCCCAUUAGCUAGUUGGAGAGGUAACGGCUCACCAAGGCGAUGAUGGGUAGCCGGCCUGAGAGGGUGAUCGGCCACAAGGGGACUGAGACACGGCCCUUACUCCUGCGGGAGGCAGCAGUGGGGAAUAUUGGACAAUGGACCGAGAGUCUGAUCCAGCAAUUCUGUGUGCACGAUGAAGUUUUUCGGAAUGUAAAGUGCUUUCAGUUGGGAAGAAACAAAUGACGGUACCAACAGAAGAAGUGACGGCUAAAUACGUG